AACGAACGCUGGCGGCAUGCCUAACACAUGCAAGUCGAACGAGAACUUCGGGUCUAGUGGCGCACGGGUGCGUAACGCGGGGGAACCUGCCCUUAGGUUCGGAAUAACUCACCGAGAGGGGUGCUAAUACCGGAUAAUGUCUUCGGACCAAAGAUUUAUGGCCUUUGGAUGGGCCCGCGUUGGAUUAGCUAGUUGGUAGGGUAAAAGCCUACCAAGGCGACGAUCCAUAGCUGGUCUGUGAGGAUGAUCAGCCGCACUGGGACUGGGACCCGGCCCAGACUGCUGCGGGAGGCAGCAGUGGGGAAUAUUGGGCAAGGGGCGAGAGCCUGAUCCAGCGCUGCCGGGAGAGUGAUGAAGGCCUUAGGGUUGUAAAGCUCUUUUACCCGGGAUGAUAAUGACAGUACCGGGAGAAUAAGCUCCGGCUACCUCCGU
This 432-nucleotide ribosomal RNA is filed under the name uncultured bacterium. RNAcentral describes it as "partial 16S ribosomal RNA". It matches the Rfam family "Bacterial small subunit ribosomal RNA", at positions 29 to 506 of the family's 1533-position model. The record is from RNAcentral.